AAAAAAAAAAGGAAAAUCAAAAAAACAGAAACACUGUUUCAUUCAACGUAAGAUUUCAACCAUCUUCAUUUUCUCUUCCCAAACAACCCCGUAAUGGAAAUUUUAACCCAACCAUGAUUUAUUUUGCACAAACAAACUCUUCUUCAAUUAAAAACCACAAUCCAAUCUAAACCCAUCCAAAAAUCUAAUAUUUAUCAAAUCAACCCACCCAAAUUUCAGUUUAUUCAUCAAAUCAACCCACCAAAAUUCAGAAAAUUCAACCCCAACCAUGGCUAUAAAUAGCCAUGAUUUCUCCACCAUUAUCACUCACUCACAACUCCAAUUAAAUCCUCGCCGGAAAACCACCACCUUCGCCGGAAAAAGCCUCCAAAACCACCCCCAAAACCUCUGUUAUUUUCGCCCCUCACCACCUCUCUCUCUUCCAUCUGUUUUCGUUCAACCACAGCAGCACCUCCGCGGCUGCCACCGCCAACCUCCUUCCACCCUCUGGCCACCAGCUUGCGCCCUCGACCGACGAACCACCUCUCUCUUUCGCUGGACCUUCUUCUCUCUCUCGCCCCAACUCCCUUCCUCUCGCGUCCCCUUUCUCCCUCGUGGCUGACGAGCCACACCCAGCACCACCUGACCGUCGUCGCUCGACGAAUCCGACGAUCCCCUCCGUUCCGCCACCUGCUGCCGGAGCUCCACCUCGCCGCAGCCAACCCUCCUUCCUCCAUCCCCUGUUUUUUUUCGUGCUUGCUCAACUGAGCAGGAGAUUAAAUGGAAAGGAUAUUACAGCCUCCCCCGGCUUUCAAGGUUAUUAAGCAGGAAUCCAGCUGAAGAUAAGUUCACAAAGACCAUGGCACAAUCAUAUGUGGCUUUACGGACAUCUUCAACAUUUUUCAAACUCAACUCUUCCAAUUUCGACCACAAAUUCUCUUUUCGCUCCUCUGAUUCUCACUUUCACUCUCCUCCGUUCAAGCCUCUUUCUCCCAGGUAUGCCAAACUCAACAUUUCAAUUUAUGCAUUUUCUAUUCAUCUCAAUUCUUUGAUUUUAGCUUAUUUUUUCGAUUUAAUUUUGUUAGGGCUUUAAAACUGAAUAAUUCUUCUAAGAAUAUUUGUUAAACUUCGACCGUUAAAAUGUUACAUUCUGAUGGAUUUGGGACUCCUCGAAGAAGUGAUCGAAAAGAAAGAGACGAGAGAGGAUGUGAUCGAAUAAAACAGUGGAGGAAGAAGGCAAUCGAAGGCAGUGGAGGAAGGAGACGAAGGUGGUGGUGGCGGUCUGGUGGAGAUUUUGAAUUGGUGGAUUUAAGAUGUGGGAUUUCGGGUUUGUAGGUGGUGGUGGGGGUUAGGCAAAGGUGGGUUUGUGCGAGGGUAUGGGGUUGAGGGUUUGGGGUUGGGUUGUUGUUGAGGUUAGGGUGCCGGCUAGGGUGGUGGCUGGGGUUAGGUGGUUAGCCAUGGAAGAAGGAGAUGAGAGAGCAAAGAUGAGAAAUAUUAAAAAUGAAAAAUAAAACUAGAUUUUUUUCCUUUCUUUUAACCGGUUAAAUAGGUCAUAUGUCAUGUAACUUAUUAAAGGCUUAAGUGGUAUCAAAGUUGGCUUAUUCCAGGAUAAUUCAGUGGUUAACUUAUUAAAAGAAGACUGGUUAAAGGUUAAAUUAUUUUUGACAUUUUUUCCCUAAUUGUAAUAGCCCUACUUUUAAGAGCAUUUAUUUAAAAGCUAAUUAUAAUUAUUAAGUUAAUUAUGUUUCGGAUACUCUUAUUUUAUUUGAGUUGGAGUUGAAUUAUAUUGGCGUGUUGGUUAUGUAUUUAUUUAUUUAAUUAUAUGAUAUUAUUAUUUUAUAUUUUGGGUUUGUGCAAUUAGUUGAGCGGUGUUCCGCAAAUUUUGAAAAAUCAAAGUCGGUUUCCUCGUUAAUUUCUUUUCCCCUAUGUCGGUUUGUUUGGAUGAAAUAAAACCAAAAACCCAUAAAUCUUCCUUCUCUCUCCCCAUGUCUCUCAGAACCUCAAAACCCAACCCCCAAAAUUGAAAAACCCGAAACCCCGUGAACCCCAUGAAACCCCAAACCCAUCUAACUGUUUCUCUAUCCAUCGCCUGCUGGCUGCUGCUGCAUCACUCCUCCUGCCUCGCCGGCGUUUUACGUUUGCUGGAGCCGCGUCGAACCACCGCAACCCUGUUGCCGCUGCUACUCUUCCAUUUUCUCUCUUCAUGGUUCGCUUCUCCCUUGUUCGCCCUUUUAUUUGAUGUUGUGUUUGGGUCGUCAGCCACCGUCGAGUCACGCUGCCACUUGCCCGUGUUGAUGUCCACCCUCGUCGGCUCUCCGUCACCACUCGCCGGAGGCCCAACUCCCCUCCCCUAUUCUUCGCUGCUCUUGUGAGCAGUGGUACACCCGCACUUCUUUUCCCCUUGAAGUUCUGAUUAAACACAAGUUUAAUUAACCUUGUUAGCUUGUUUAAGUUGGACCUAAAUUAGAUUUUAGUGAGUUAAUUUAGAAUUGGAUAUUUGUUUCAUUUCAAGAUUUGCUUAUGAUUAGCUAAUUGAUUAUGGAGUAUUAGUUUCAUUGAGUGGAGUUAUAGUGGUUGUUAUUGAUCGUUGUUGUUGUUCUUGAAGGGUUGGCAUUGCUGUUAUGGUGGUUGUUCUUGUUUGUGAUGUUGUAUUGUUGUUGUUGUUGUUGUUGUUGUUGUUGUUGUUGUUGUUGUGGUAUUGUUGGUGGUGGUGAUGCGUUGUUGUUGCCUUGUUGUUGAUGAUGGGUUGUGGUGGUGGUGUUGUGGUGCCACUGCUGUUGGGUGGUUGUUUUGUUGCAGUGGUUGUUGUUGAGUUGUUGCUAGUUAUGAUUAUGAAUUAAGAAUUAUGGAAUUGGGAUGUUAAAGGUUGAUAAUUUCUAAAUUGGGUAUUAGUUAUGAUUAUGUUUUGUAUUUUUGAUUAGUCUAAGUUUGGUUAUUGAUUGUUAUGAGGUAAAUUGUUGGAGAAUGAUUCUAGAGUUGAGUUCCCUUUGGAGAUAAGAUUAAUGAAGGAAAUUAUGUUGGUGGAAUCUGAAUUGCAGUUCAGGUAACUUUUAUGUUCAGUAAAAUUAUUUACUCAUGCCCUUCUAUGUGUGAAUCUCUUUGUUCUAUUUUCUAUAAUUAAGUUCGUACUAUGGCCAUAGAUAUGAAUGUGAUGAUGAAAUGUCAUUAACUGAUUAUGAAUACGCAGCUGUUUUGCUGGCUUAGUUUAUGAACUGAAAAUAGAAAGUGGGCAAGGUAUGGGUGGAGGAUGGUUACUCUUUUGACCUGAUACGGUCGGCUACGCUCCAUAACGAAUCUUGAGGAUAAUAUUGUUGGGCUCCAUAACGAACCUUGGAAGCAGCAUUUGUCUAAAGCCGGUACUUGCCACUAAUUUGUUUAAGAGAAUGAGCUAUGCCAGUGUUGUAAACGAAAGAAAUGAUUUGACAAAUAAAAUGUUUAUAACGGGCUUAAGUAAAGGUUACGAGUUUUCUACUCAUUUCGAAAUUUUGUUUGUUUUGUAUUUCUUCCCUCAAUUUUGCAUUUUGUUUGUUUUGUAUUUCUUCCCUCAAUUUUGCAGGUAGUGGAUUGAGAGUUCGAAGUUGGAAGUGGCCGGAGCGAGAUUAAGAUUUUGAUUAUAGAUUAAGUUUGUAUUUUAGAUAGCUGAUUCGAGAAUAGUUAUUAAUAUUUCAUUGUAUAUAAUAUUUGGGAAUUUAGUCAAUUUAUUUGUGUAUUUAAGUAUAUUUUUUCCGCUGCGAGUUAAUUUAAUUAAGAGCUAAUUUUAGUUUA
Beta vulgaris subsp. vulgaris (sugar beet) is the source of this 3744-nucleotide long non-coding RNA. RefSeq lists it as uncharacterized. The record is from RefSeq and is a predicted model, not a curated record. NCBI's taxonomy places the organism in Eukaryota, Viridiplantae, Streptophyta, Magnoliopsida, Caryophyllales, Amaranthaceae. The transcript is spliced from 3 exons.